This 1003-nucleotide long non-coding RNA is filed under the name Lathyrus oleraceus (garden pea). RNAcentral describes it as "Pisum sativum (pea) long non-coding RNA (PSAT_LNC007853)". Lineage: Eukaryota; Viridiplantae; Streptophyta; Magnoliopsida; Fabales; Fabaceae. The record is from RNAcentral.
UGUGCUCAUUUUUCGACACUUCACACGGUCACAUUUUGAUCAGUGUGAGCUUUUUCAAUCGGGUACUUUUUGCUGCAAGAUUUGAUCUGCAUUUGUUUGUUUUAUGAAAUUUUAUUUCGGAUAGAUCAUUUUAGUGCUUUCAUUUUAUUUUUUUCACGCAUUUUUGCGUUCAAUUUUUAUUCCUUUUAUUUUUGUUUUUUUUAUAAAAUGUCAAGAAAGAAUAAAUAUAAACAAACAAAUAUUUUAUUUUAUUUUAUUUUAUUUUAUCAAGAAGUUGUGAAUUUUAUUUCAUUUUUUUAACUUAUGUUGAUGACAAAAUAUCUGAGGAGCACUUUUGGAAUAAAAUGAAAGUUAAAAACCCUAAUGCAUUUGCUAUAUAUGGAUCACUAUUGACCAAUGAGAGGAGACACACACCAAUACCCACAAAACGACGUCCCUCUCUCAAUGUAUCCCUUCUCUCAGCAUGAAAAGAUUAAAAGAAAAAAGAUAGAAAAGGAAACACAGUAAUCCAAUCCUCAUCACACUCCCUCAUUUUCAUGAGUCAUGCAUCUUCUUUUGCAACUCGUGUGAACCACCACCACCUUCAAUAACCUCUCUCAUAACUACACUCUCCUUCAUCCUUUUCAUUUUCACAUAUUGCAACUUACAUGCCAACUUCAAUAAACACUAAACAACCUCAUUUAACGUUAACUCAUUUCACAAACCACCACUCCAUCAUGCUGCAAACAAACCAUCCUCACUUCAACGCAAUGCCCUCAUUUUUUCUUCCUGCGAAACAAAACCUCACUCCACACAAACCAAAUACAACCUCCACACUUGCUACUUCACCACCUUCUUCACUAAACCACCAACUUCUAUAACACAAACUACCAAAUCCCUUCUUUUCCAUAACAAAAACAAAAACAUUAGCAAAGUGAAUAACUCAGCUUCAAACUCAAGAUUCAGGUUCAAAGAUGAACUGAAUGGUCGUGAAGUAGAAGAAAAAGAAACAGAGCAGUUGUUA